RNAcentral lists this unclassified non-coding RNA (352 nucleotides) under Melitaea cinxia (Glanville fritillary). RNAcentral's name for it is "misc RNA ENSMCXG00005002059.1". Lineage: Eukaryota; Metazoa; Arthropoda; Insecta; Lepidoptera; Nymphalidae. The record is from RNAcentral.
CACAACGUAAAUUUCAUGAAAACGCAACCGGAAAUUGACAAUAGAGAAAUCAACUUAAAAAUAUAAUUGACAUCGAUUUGGCGAACGUUACUUACAGUAGACAAUAUAUCCACCAUCUCGCAGUGGAGCAGCGUGGAAGAUUAUUCUCCAAUCCUUCUCCUACGUGGAGAUAAAGUCUGAGAAUUUACGAUCGUCUUCACAACGAAACUAGUUUACAACAAUGGAAGGUCAAGACACUGGACAUCGGGUGCGGACACCGGUCAGCGUGGGAAAGAGGGUGAAAUAGGGUUAUGAGAAUCCCUGUAUAACAUCUACCAUUACAAUUAAAAAAAGUAUUUCUUUUGUAUGUGAU